GAUGAACGCUGGCGGCGUGCCUAAUACAUGCAAGUCGAGCGGUAAGGCUCCUUCGGGAGUACACGAGCGGCGGACGGGUGAGUAAUACGUAGGAACGUACCCCAAAGUGAGGAAUAACCAGCCGAAAGGUUGGCUAAUACCGCAUAUGCUAUACGGAGUAAAGCAGCAAUGCGCUUUGGGAACGGCCUGCGUCCGAGUAGCUAGUUGGUAAGGUAAAGGCUUACCAAGGCGACGAUCGGUAGCUGUUCUGAGAGGAUGAUCAGCCACACUGGAACUGAGACACGGUCCAGACUCCUACGGGAGGCAGCAGUAGGGAAUUUUCCACAAUGGGCGAAAGCCUGAUGGAGCAACGCCGCGUGCAGGAUGAAGGCCUUAGGGUUGUAAACUGCUUUUAUCUGUGACGAUUAUGACAGUAGCAGAUGAAUAAGGAUCGGCUAACUCCGUGCCAGCCGCCGCCGUAA
This 461-nucleotide ribosomal RNA is filed under the name uncultured bacterium. Its description in RNAcentral is "partial 16S ribosomal RNA". It matches the Rfam family "Bacterial small subunit ribosomal RNA", at positions 28 to 523 of the family's 1533-position model. The record is from RNAcentral.